This 334-nucleotide ribosomal RNA is filed under the name uncultured eukaryote. Its description in RNAcentral is "partial 18S ribosomal RNA". It matches the Rfam family "Eukaryotic small subunit ribosomal RNA", at positions 1470 to 1796 of the family's 1831-position model. The record is from RNAcentral.
CCCUUAGAUGUCCGGGGCCGCACGCGCGCUACACUGAAGGAAUCAGCGUGGCUUUCUCCCUGACCCGAAAGGGUUGGGAAACCCGUUGAAUCUCUUUCGUGAUAGGGAUUGGGGCUUGAAAUUGUUCCCCAUGAACGAGGAAUUCCCAGUAAGCGCGAGUCAUAAGCUCGCGUUGAUUACGUCCCUGCCCUUUGUACACACCGCCCGUCGCUACUACCGAUUGAACGGUUUAGUGAGGGCCUCGGAUUGGUCUCGGCCCGCUCUUUACCGGGCGGCGCCGUUGGUCGAGAAGACGCUCGAACUUGAUCGUUUAGAGGAAGUAAAAGUCGUAACA